Molecule: ribosomal RNA, 474 nt
Filed under: uncultured bacterium
Lineage: Bacteria
Description: partial 16S ribosomal RNA
Rfam family: Bacterial small subunit ribosomal RNA
Source: RNAcentral
UGGGGAAUAUUGGACAAUGGGCGGAAGCCUGAUCCAGCAACGCCGCGUGAGGGAUGACGGCCUUCGGGUUGUAAACCUCUUUCAGUACCGACGAAGCGAAAGUGACGGUAGGUACAGAAGAAGGACCGGCCAACUACGUGCCAGCAGCCGCGGUAAUACGUAGGGUCCGAGCGUUGUCCGGAAUUAUUGGGCGUAAAGGGCUCGUAGGCGGUUUGUCGCGUCGGGAGUGAAAACAGCGGGCUUAACUCGUUGCUUGCUUUCGAUACGGGGCAGACUAGAGGUAUGCAGGGGAGAAUGGAAUUCCUGGUGUAGCGGUGAAAUGCGCAGAUAUCAGGAGGAACACCGGUGGCGAAGGCGGUUCUCUGGGCAUUACCUGACGCUGAGGAGCGAAAGUGUGGGGAGCGAACAGGGUUAGAUACCCUGGUAGUCCACACCGUAAACGUUGGGGCGCUAGGUGUGGGGUCCUUUCCACGA